AGUGAACGCUGGCGGUAGGCCUAACACAUGCAAGUCGAACGGCAGCACAGUAAGAGCUUGCUCUUACGGGUGGCGAGUGGCGGACGGGUGAGGAAUACAUCGGAAUCUACUUUUUCGUGGGGGAUAACGUAGGGAAACUUACGCUAAUACCGCAUACGACCUACGGGUGAAAGCAGGGGAUCUUCGGACCUUGCGCGAUUGAAUGAGCCGAUGUCGGAUUAGCUAGUUGGCGGGGUAAAGGCCCACCAAGGCGACGAUCCGUAGCUGGUCUGAGAGGAUGAGCGGGCAGCAUGGAAGUGAAUGGCGGAACGGGAGCAAGCGUGUGGCAGCAGUGGGGAAUGGUGGACGAGGGCCGUAGGUUUGAUAAGGCCAUACAGCGUGAGAGAAGAACGCCUUCGUGUUGCAAAGCCCUUUUGUGGGGAAACAAAAGCAACAGGUUAAUACCCUGCUGUGCAGACGGUACCAAAAGAAUAAGCACCAGCUAACUUCG
RNAcentral lists this ribosomal RNA (490 nucleotides) under uncultured bacterium. RNAcentral describes it as "partial 16S ribosomal RNA". It matches the Rfam family "Bacterial small subunit ribosomal RNA", at positions 29 to 505 of the family's 1533-position model. The record is from RNAcentral.